This 554-nucleotide small RNA is filed under the name Pongo abelii (Sumatran orangutan). Its description in RNAcentral is "processed transcript". Lineage: Eukaryota; Metazoa; Chordata; Mammalia; Primates; Hominidae. The record is from RNAcentral.
CUGGCAUGCACUGUUAAGUUCCUUGGCUCCUCCUUAUGCCAUCAGGUCGUGAUAUCAUUGGGCUUGCAGAAACUGGCUCUGGAAAGACAGGCGCCUUUGCUUUGCCCAUUCUAAAUGCACUGCUGGAGACCCCACAGCGUUUGUUUGCCCUAGUUCUUACCCCGACUCGGGAGCUGGCCUUUCAGAUCUCAGAGCAGUUUGAAGCCCUGGGGUCCUCUAUUGGAGUGCAGAGUGCUGUGAUUGUAGGUGGAAUUGAUUCAAUGUCUCAAUCUUUGGCCCUUGCAAAAAAACCACAUAUAAUAAUAGCAACUCCUGGUCGACUGAUUGACCACUUGGAAAAUACGAAAGGUUUCAACUUGAGAGCUCUCAAAUACUUGGUCAUGGAUGAAGCCGACCGAAUACUGAAUAUGGAUUUUGAGACAGAGGUUGACAAGAUCCUCAAAGUGAUUCCUCGAGAUCGGAAAACAUUCCUCUUCUCUGCCACCAUGACCAAGAAGGUGCAAAAACUUCAGCGAGCAGCUCUAAAGAAUCCUGUGAAAUGUGCCGUUUCCUCU